This 301-nucleotide ribosomal RNA is filed under the name uncultured bacterium. RNAcentral describes it as "partial 16S ribosomal RNA". It matches the Rfam family "Bacterial small subunit ribosomal RNA", at positions 509 to 809 of the family's 1533-position model. The record is from RNAcentral.
CAGUCGCCGCGGGAAUACGAAGGGUGCAAGCGUUACUCGGAAUUACUGGGCGUAAAGCGUGCGUAGGUGGUGGUUUAAGUCCGUUGUGAAAGCCCUGGGCUCAACCUGGGAAUUGCAGUGGAUACUGGGUCACUAGAGUGUGGUAGAGGAUAGUGGAAUUUCCGGUGUAGCAGUGAAAUGCGUAGAGAUCGGAUGGAACAUCUGUGGCGAAGGCGACUAUCUGGGCCAACACUGACACUGAGGCACGAAAGCGUGGGGAGCAAACAGGAUUAGAUACCCCCGUAGUCCCUGUCUCUUAUAA